Molecule: ribosomal RNA, 497 nt
Filed under: uncultured bacterium
Lineage: Bacteria
Description: partial 16S ribosomal RNA
Rfam family: Bacterial small subunit ribosomal RNA
Source: RNAcentral
GACGAACGCUGGCGGCGUGCCUAAUACAUGCAAGUAGAACGCUGAAGAGAGGAGCUUGCUCUUCUUGGAUGAGUUGCGAACGGGUGAGUAACGCGUAGGUAACCUGCCUUGUAGCGGGGGAUAACUAUUGGAAACGAUAGCUAAUACCGCAUAACAAUGGAUGACACAUGUCAUUUAUUUGAAAGGGGCAAUUGCUCCACUACAAGAUGGACCUGCGUUGUAUUAGCUAGUAGGUGAGGUAAUGGCUCACCUAGGCGACGAUACAUAGCCGACCUGAGAGGGUGAUCGGCCACACUGGGACUGAGACACGGCCCAGACUCCUACGGGAGGCAGCAGUAGGGAAUCUUCGGCAAUGGGGGCAACCCUGACCGAGCAACGCCGCGGGAGUGAAGAAGGGUUUCGGAUCGUAAAGCUCUGUUGUAAGUCAAGAACGGGUGUGAGAGUGGAAAGUUCACACUGUGACGGUAGCUUACCAGAAAGGGACGGCUAACUACGUG